UACGUAGGUGGCAAGCGUUGUCCGGAUUUACUGGGCGUAAAGAGCGCGCAGGCGGUCGUCCAAGUCGCGUGUGAAAGCCCCCGGCUCAACUGGGGAGGGUCAUUCGAUACUGCUCGACUUGAAGGCAGGAGAGGGUAGUGGAAUUCCCGGUGUAGUGGUGAAAUGCGUAGAUAUCGGGAGGAACACCAGUGGCGAAGGCGACUACCUGGCCUGUUCUUGACGCUGAGGCGCGAAAGCUGGGGGAGCAAACGGG
This 253-nucleotide ribosomal RNA is filed under the name uncultured bacterium. Its description in RNAcentral is "partial 16S ribosomal RNA". It matches the Rfam family "Bacterial small subunit ribosomal RNA", at positions 524 to 776 of the family's 1533-position model. The record is from RNAcentral.